This 419-nucleotide ribosomal RNA is filed under the name uncultured bacterium. RNAcentral describes it as "bacterial SSU rRNA". It matches the Rfam family "Bacterial small subunit ribosomal RNA", at positions 356 to 774 of the family's 1533-position model. The record is from RNAcentral.
AAGGAAUAUUGCUCAAUGGGAGAAACCCUGAAGCAGCAACGCCGCGUGGAGGAUGAAGGGUCUAUGACUUGUAAACUCCUGUAAAGAAGGAAAAAAUUCCCAUUUGAUGGGAGAUGAUGGUACUUCUGGAGUAAGCCCCGGCUAACUACGUGCCAGCAGCCGCGGUAAUACGUAGGGGGCAAGCGUUGUCCGGAUUUACUGGGUGUAAAGGGUGCUCAGGCGGAUUUGUAAGUCAGAGGUGAAAUCUUACAGCUUAACUGUGAAACUGCCUUUGAUACUGCAAGCCUAGAGUAUGGAAGAGAGUGAUGGAAUAUCUGGUGUAGCAGUGAAAUGCGUAGAUAUCAGAUAGAACACCAAUGACGAAGGCAGUCACUUGGUCCAUUACUGACGCUAAAGCACGAAAGCGUGGGUAGCAAACA